Molecule: ribosomal RNA, 450 nt
Filed under: Streptococcus sp. oral taxon C08
Lineage: Bacteria; Bacillati; Bacillota; Bacilli; Lactobacillales; Streptococcaceae
Description: bacterial SSU rRNA
Rfam family: Bacterial small subunit ribosomal RNA
Source: RNAcentral
GACGAACGCUGGCGGCGUGCCUAAUACAUGCAAGUAGAACGCUGAAGCUUGGUGCUUGCACCGAGCGGCUGAGUUGCGAACGGGUGAGUAACGCGUAGGUAACCCUGCCUGGUAGCGGGGGAUAACUAUUGGAAACGAUAGCUAAUACCGCAUAAGAGUAGAUGUUGCAUGACAUUUGCUUAAAAGGUGCAAUUGCCUCACUACCAGAUGGACCUGCGUUGUAUUAGCUAGUUGGUGAGGUAACGGCUCACCAAGGCAACGAUACAUAGCCGACCUGAGAGGGUGAUCGGCCACACUGGGACUGAGACACGGCCCAGACUCCUACGGGAGGCAGCAGUAGGGAAUCUUCGGCAAUGGACGGAAGUCUGACCGAGCAACGCCGCGUGAGUGAAGAAGGUUUUCGGAUCGUAAAGCUCUGUUGUAAGAGAAGAACGACGUGUGAGAGUGGAA